This 714-nucleotide ribosomal RNA is filed under the name uncultured fungus. RNAcentral describes it as "SSU rRNA". It matches the Rfam family "Eukaryotic small subunit ribosomal RNA", at positions 707 to 1446 of the family's 1831-position model. Lineage: Eukaryota; Fungi. The record is from RNAcentral.
GGGGAACCCCAUGGCCUUCACUGGCUGUGGGGGGAACCAGGACUUUUACUGUGAAAAAAUUAGAGUGUUCAAAGCAGGCCUUUGCUCGAAUACAUUAGCAUGGAAUAAUAGAAUAGGACGUGUGGUUCUAUUUUGUUGGUUUCUAGGACCGCCGUAAUGAUUAAUAGGGAUAGUCGGGGGCGUCAGUAUUCAGCUGUCAGAGGUGAAAUUCUUGGAUUUGCUGAAGACUAACUACUGCGAAAGCAUUCGCCAAGGAUGUUUUCAUUAAUCAGGGAACGAAAGUUAGGGGAUCGAAGACGAUCAGAUACCGUCGUAGUCUUAACCAUAAACUAUGCCGACUAGGGAUCGGACGGGAUUCUAUAAUGACCCGUUCGGCACCUUACGAGAAAUCAAAGUUUUUGGGUUCUGGGGGGAGUAUGGUCGCAAGGCUGAAACUUAAAGAAAUUGACGGAAGGGCACCACAAGGCGUGGAGCCUGCGGCUUAAUUUGACUCAACACGGGGAAACUCACCAGGUCCAGACAAAAUAAGGAUUGACAGAUUGAGAGCUCUUUCUUGAUCUUUUGGAUGGUGGUGCAUGGCCGUUCUUAGUUGGUGGAGUGAUUUGUCUGCUUAAUUGCGAUAACGAACGAGACCUCGGCCCUUAAAUAGCCCGGUCCGCAUUUGCGGGCCGCUGGCUUCUUAAGGGGACUAUCGGCUCAAGCCGAUGGAAGUGC